GACGAACGCUGGCGGCGUGCCUAAUACAUGCAAGUAGAACGCUGAAGGAGGAGCUUGCUUCUCUGGAUGAGUUGCGAACGGGUGAGUAACGCGUAGGUAGCCCGCCUGGUAGCGGGGGAUAACUAUUGGAAACGAUAGCUAAUACCGCAUAAUAGUAGAUGUCGCAUGACAUUUGCUUAAAGGGUGCAAUUGCAUCACUACCAGAUGGACCUGCGUUGUAUUAGCUAGUUGGUGAGGUAACGGCUCACCAAGGCAACGAUACAUAGCCGACCUGAGAGGGUGAUCGGCCACACUGGGACUGAGACACGGCCCAGACUCCUACGGGAGGCAGCAGUAGGGAAUCUUCGGCAAUGGACGGAAGUCUGACCGAGCAACGCCGCGUGAGUGAAGAAGGUUUUCGGAUCGUAAAGCUCUGUUGUAAGAGAAGAACGAGUGUGAGAGUGGAAAGUUCACACUGUGACGGUAUCUUACCAGAAAGGGACGGCUAACUACGUG
This 495-nucleotide ribosomal RNA is filed under the name uncultured bacterium. RNAcentral's name for it is "partial 16S ribosomal RNA". It matches the Rfam family "Bacterial small subunit ribosomal RNA", at positions 28 to 507 of the family's 1533-position model. The record is from RNAcentral.